CAGCCCCUUGAAGGUUUUGCUGGCCAGCUCCUCCAGGGCGCAGAGGGGAGACGUUUGGGAGAGCAGCGGCCGGCCGGAGAGGGGCAGCCCGGCCGGGGGGUGCUUGUCGGCGGCGGAGAGCAGGCUUUUGCAAGUUCGGAGACCCAUUAAUUAGGAGGCGUUUAUCUAAAAUGCCUCUCUCGGGCUCUCUCCCGGAGCCGUUUGGUGUUUUAAUGAGGGGAAGAAGGGGAGAUGCGUUGUUUCCAGCCCUCUUGGCACCCGGCCCCGAAUUGGAGACCCUCGGUGCCCCGCGGCGGGUCCCAUCGCAUCUCCCCGUCCUCGGAGGGCCCCGGGGAGCAGGGGGGGCACCGGGAGCAGCCCGGGGUCGGAUCCUGCCUCCUCCACCAAACUUCGCGUCCUGCCGGGCUCUUCUCCUGCCCGCCCAGCCGUCGGCUCUUCUCUCCCGGUUUUGGGUUCGUUUUGGGGGAAAACCGCCCUUAUUCGCAGCGUUUCACCCCGCUUUUACCAGCUCCAGCUCCUGCGAGGGGGGACCCGGCACCCAUUCCCCCUCGGGGCACGCAAAAAAGUUUGGGGCCGGACCCAGAGAGGAGGGAACGGCGGCACCGAGGGAUGGAGGAGGGGGUCCUGGAGCCGUCGGGGAAAUGUGGCGCAGGGUCCCCGCCUUCCAGCGGGGAAGAAAAGCGGGUGAGCAGCGGCCUUUCCCGCAGAAAACCCCCGCUUACCCUGGGGCGUAAAGAAACCCUCCGGCUACGGGGGGCAGCUUUGGAGGCGUCUCCCCCCGCCGCCCCCAGAGCCGUAUUUUGGGGUGGCGGCACCGCCCUCCUCCCCCUUUUUUUGCCCCCCCCCCUUCCCCGCAGGCAGCCCGGGGGCCGCUCGGGUUUGGCUGCGUGCGGCCCCGCUUUUGUCCAGGAAAAUGUCACAGGAAUCGAAUUAAAGCAGGCGGCAUAAAUCAUUCAAGUGUUGAUCACCAAAGUAACUGCGUACAAAUGACACCUCCUUCCCCGGCAUAGCUGAGCCGUGCAUGGCUCCCAGUUAUGUCUGCCUGCUCGAAGUGCCCUAAACACGUUGCGGCUCCCCGGGAGAGGCUCGGAGAGGAGCAGACUCCGUGCCCUCCAGCUGCCAGCGAGCUCAGGGGCCUGGCACAGCAUCCCAAAGAGGGGGGAGCUCGGCAACUAACUGGGUUUUGUCUUCAAGCCCCCCCCUUUCCCCAGAUUUGGGGUGGCGAGUGCGCGCAGGCGGAGAGAGCCCGGAGGUCCCCUUCGCCUUCCCUCGCAGAGCAGCCGGUAAAUGUCCCCAUGUCCCCCGUGGGUGGCCACAGGUGUCCUCCUUCCUCGCCUCCGACGGGCUCCUUGCUCCCCCCGGCAAACAACCGCCCCCGCCUGGGCGCACGCCGGGUCCCGGCGCUGCCGGGGAGGGUCCUGGGGGGCCCCGGGGAGCCCCGCGGAGCUGAGCAGAAGCCCCCCGACAGAGCCCAUCUCCCGAGGUCGUUUUGUAGCCGUGUCCCUCUUCUUCCUCCCCUCGCAAGCCGUUCCCUUGCGAGGAAAAAAAAAAUAAAAAUAAAUAACUUCGCCGCACCAAAAAUAAACCUGACCCAAGCGCCCGCACCCGGCCGGGGAAACGGGGCCAGAGGCAGGGCAGGCGGGCGGGAGCGCACCUCCCCAAAAAGCCUUCCCCCUUAACCAAAAAAGAGCGAAACCGGGAUUUUCCCCAAGGCCACGGGCAGCGGGGAUGCGGGGAAGCGGCGGAGGCACGGCGAGGCCCUGCCCGAGCCCCCAAUUUAUCCCCGAGGGGGGGACACACGAAACCCACCGCCCCAAAAGCACGGCUGAACGCGGGGCAGCGGGGGGCGGCCCCCGCUUUUUCGUUUGCGAGCAAACUCCCGGGGACAGCCAGCGGCAUCGGGGUGGGUGGGGAGCGGGGGUCGGGCCCCCCCCUGCUCACCCAAAGGGACAAUUUGUUUUUUCCUGGCUUGCCCCCCCCCCCCCGGCUGUGCCCCUACAGCCUCCCUGCCGUCAGGGAGGCCGGGGGAGGGCAACGAGCCUCUGCUCUGAAUUUGGGGGAGCCCCGAUGUAAGGGGGAAGCUCCCGGAGGAGGGGGCCUGGGGCCUGGAUGCAAGGAAAAAGGGGGAGCCCCCCCCGCCCCGUAAGUCGGUCCCAAGCACAAACUAAACGCAGCUCCCGAGGGUGUCCCCAUCCCAAACGCCGGGUGGUCCCUAAGCACGGUGGGGGACCCUUCUGGGGGUUUUAGGGGUUCUCGGGGGGGUGCAGAGCCCCUCCGAGCCGCUGCAGAGGGCAGCCAGGUCAGGGUGGUGGGGACAGGGAUAGGGAGAGGGACAGGGACAGGGACAGGGACAGGGACAGGGUCGGAUCCUUCUGCAGCCGCCGCAGGGACUCCCGAAAUGGAGACGUGAGUGCCUGCGGCUCGGUGCAUUUUUAGCCUUUAAAACUCCAGAAUUUUAAUUUCUAGUCCCAGAAACGCAGCUGGACGCGGGCUCCUGGAAAAGAACAGCCGGGACGUGCCCGUCCCAGGUCAGAGAGAGGCGAGAACUUGAUUUAUUUUAUUUUAUUUUAUUUUAUUUUAUUUUACUUUAUUUUAUUUUACUUUAUUUUUAAACACUUCGAGAAGUGCCAUUUGCAGGACCCCCGCAGAGGAGGAGGAGGAGGAGGGAGGCCGGAGGCGGGCAGGGAGGUGGCACGGAGCCACCGGGAGCAUUUCAGGCCUCCCGGCCGUGCCAGGCUCUGUGGGCGGCAGAGAUUUGGCAGCUCCCGGGCCCUCCGUGCCCCUUCUCCAUCCCGGGAGAGGCGAGGCCAGGGCAGGGAGCAAAUUGGGGCGAGGAGAGCACAGGGGAUGCUCGCAGGACGUCCCCUGCCCCACGGCUUCACUCUGGACAAAACUUUGUUGGAAGGGGGGAGCCAAGGGGAGCAUCCACACGGGGAUAUGACAGCCGAGCCGUGCUGGCUCCUCCGAGACCUGUAAUAUCUCCUCCGCUCCCGGCACGCGUGAAUAAUUCACCAGGCUGCCAAAUGCAAGUAACGUGUGGCAGCUCUGAAGGAGCCGGGGAGGCGAAGGCUCAUUUUUGGGGGGCAGGAGGAGGUGUGGGGAAUCAAUUGAAACUUAAUAAAGGGAGUGGGGGGGAGAAUGGCGGAAAUAAGCUAGGCAACUUCUUCUAAUAACAACUUGGUGUUAAUAAUUCAGGAGCAGUCAUUGGAUUAUAGCGCAAUAUCCGAAGUACGCCUUGCCGGCACAGUGCGGGUGGAUAAUGU
This is a long non-coding RNA of Anas platyrhynchos (mallard), 3263 nucleotides long. RefSeq lists it as uncharacterized. The record is from RefSeq and is a predicted model, not a curated record. Lineage: Eukaryota; Metazoa; Chordata; Aves; Anseriformes; Anatidae.